Molecule: ribosomal RNA, 366 nt
Filed under: uncultured bacterium
Lineage: Bacteria
Description: bacterial SSU rRNA
Rfam family: Bacterial small subunit ribosomal RNA
Source: RNAcentral
GAUGAACGCUAGCGGCAGGCUUAAUACAUGCAAGUCAAGGGGGUAGCAAUACAACCGGCGCACGGGUGAGUAACGCGUACACAACAUGCCAUAUACUGGGGUAUAGCUUCGGGAAACUGAAGGUAAUCCCCCAUAACAUUGCGAAUAGGCAUCUAAUUGCAAUUAAAGUUCCGACGGUAUAUGAUUGGUGUGCGUUUGAUUAGGUAGUUGGCGGGGUAACGGCCCACCAAGCCGACGAUCAAUAGCUGGCGUGAGAGCGCGACCAGCCACACUGGAACUGAGACACGGUCCAGACUCCUACGGAGGCAGCAGUAGGGAAUAUUGGACAAUGGAGGAAACUCUGAUCCAGCCAUGCCGCGUGAUAGA